UUUGUAAUUGAUAAAUAUUGGGAGUCUCAAAUACUUUGAGACUAUGCAAAUGCCAUGUUUCUCAAACUUAUACCCAUUAGUUUAACAGCUAUCAGGUGAACUGUCUGCAGCAACUAUGACUGCAGUGUUCUUGGGGUGAUUUUCUAUUUCCCCCACUUCUAUUUAUUCAUUGGAAUUCUUCUGGUAAGGAAGAACUGUCCUUUCACCCCAUCAAAUAAUCAGUUUAUUCAACUUUUAUUUUUAUCAACACAGACUCAUGGAUAGUUAUUUUAUUCUUUGAGUUAUAACCCAAUAUAUCCUUGCUUAUCUUAUUGAUCCAGCUUUGGCCAAUAAGAGUUUUUUCAGGUUGGUUCCUGUACUCUGCAUAUUCCCAUUGUUGUUGUUGUUCAGUACUUUCUUACUUUGUAGCACCAGAAGAUGCUCCAGGCUCAUCUUGUAAUUUUCCUACCCAGUCCUGGAGCCUAUGUUUUCAAGGAGUCCUGGCUCCUUUUAUUAAAUAAUAGCAUUUACAGACCAAGAUCAGGGAACCUGAUGUGCUCACUGCUACUGGGAUGUCACUGCUUUUAGGCCAUCUCAGUAGACAGAGCUAGGAAACAUAUGUAUGUAUAUUUAUCCAUGAAUACACACCUAUAUUUCCAUAUCUAUCAGUGUAUAUGUGUGAGAGUGUGUAUAUGUGUUUGUAUAUGUAUAUGUAUAUGUAUAUGUAUAAACAUGAGUUAAUACUGAUACCGCUGACUCUAAUCAAACACCAUGGAUUCACUCCAUCAUUCUGCUUUGCUUAUUAGUAACUCUUUCUCAGACAGACACCUGGGUCUUAUUAUCAAUAAUAUAUUUGCUUAUUUGUUCAUUCCUAGUAUAUAUGUAAAAUAGUUUUAGAUGGUUAACACAUACCCCGGUGAAGGACAAAUUUAUCAUGUCGAGUACAGUGUCUGUGUACAGUUCUUUUUUUUGUCUUUAGCCUUAUAGGAUUCCAAAGUUAUUUAGGUCAGCUCCCUUCUUCCUCAUCCUCUUCAAUGAGUUUGUUAUACAUGUGCAAUGCACUUAGAUUCAUUUGUCAUAUUCUACAUUACAUCUUGGGUUCCUCAGUAUCCUGACUGAUUUUGUUCUUAAUUUGCACACAGCAAAAUUUACACUUUAUGGUGUACAGAUCUAUGGGUUUGACAAAUACAUCGAGUUUUGUAGCCACCAGCACAGUACCAUAUAAAGCAUUUCCAUCAGCCACAAAGUUACCUCAUACUGCUCCCUUGCAGUCAACCCCAACCCAAAACCCCAACCCCUGGCAAUGCAUUUUCCAUAGCUAUAGUUUUGCCUUUUCUAAAGUAUCCUAUGGAAUAGUAAAACAUGAACUUUUUGGGUCUGGAUUCUCUCACUUAGCAAAACAGAUUUAAGAUUCAUCCAUGAUGUUGCAUGAAUCAAUACUUGUUCCUUUUUACAGAUGAAUAGUGUUCAAUUUUAUGGGUAUAUCACUUCUGUUCGCCUGUGAAGAACAUCUCAGUUGUGUCCAGUUUGGGUGUUUACGUGUAGAGCUGUUAUAAAUAUUCAUGUAUGGGUUUCUAAGUGAAAACACAAGUUUUCAAUGACUUGAGUAAACACCAAGGAGUGGUAUUGUUGGGUCCUAUAAUAAGUAUAUCUUUAAUUUUAUAAGAAACUGCCAAACUGCUUCCCAAAGUGGUUGUACCAUUCUGCAUUCUUAACAAGAACACGAAAGAGUUCCAGUGGCUCUGCAUCCUUGCCCGCAUGCACAUAGUGUUGUCAGGUUUGCUUUUUCUUAAUUGUAGCUAUUCCAGUUGAUAUGUAUGAUAGUUCAUUGUGGUUUUAACUUUUAUUUCCCUAAUUACAAAUAACGUUGAGUGUGUCUUCAUAUGCUUAUUUGCCAUCAUAUGCUUUCUUUUGUAAAACAUAUGUUCAAAUAUUUUGCCCAUUUUUUAUAGAGUUGUUUACUUUCUUGCUGAAGUUUGAAAGGUCUUUAUAUAUUCCAGAUUCAAGUCCUUCAUUACAUAUGUGAUUGCAAAUAUUUUCUCACAAUCUGUGGCUUGUCUUUUUAUUCAUUUAACAUUGUCUUUCACAGAGCAAAAUUUUUAUUUCAUUAGAGUUCAAUUCAUUAAUGUUUCUUUUAUUGACUGUGCCUUUAAUGUUGUAUCUAAAAACUCUUUGCCAAACCAAAGGUCAUAAAUAUUUUCUCCUAUGAUUUUUUCCUAGAUGUGUUGUAGUUUUAUCUUUUACAUUUAGAUCUAUGAUCUUUUUCUCAGUUGUUUUUUAAGGUGUCAGGUAUGUGUUGAGGUUCAUUUUCUUGCAUAUAGAUAUCCAAUUGUUCCAACACCAUUUGCUGAAAAGACUAUCAUUUCUUCACCCUUGUCAAAAAUGAGUUGAUUAUAUUUGUGUGGGUCUAGUUCUGGGCUCUCAAUUCUCUUCCACUGAUUUUUGUAUCUAUCAUUUUGUCAACACUACACUUUCUUAUUAUAACUUUGUAACAAGUCUCAAAAUUGGGUACUGUCUGAGUCCUCCAACUUUGUUCUUUUUCAGAUUUGUUUUAAUGGGGACAAACUGACAUCUUAGCAAUAUUGAGUCUUCCAAUCCAUGAAUACAGUAUGCAUCUCUAUUUAUUUUACUGUUCUUUAAUUGCUUUCACCAGGAUCUUCUAGAUUUUAGCAUACAUAUCCUGAAUAUUAUUUCUGUUAGAUUUAUACCUAAGAAUUUGUGGGGUUUGGUGCUAUUGUAAAGGCAAUUGCUCUCUAAGUUUCAAAGUCCGUAUGUUCAUUGCUAGCAUGAAGAAAUAUAAUUGACUUUGUAUCUUGCAACUUUACUAAACUCACUUAUUGUCCUAGAAACUUUUUAAUGAUCCUUCGGGUUUUUCUACAAAGACAAUAAAGUUACACGUGAAAAGACAUUGUUUCCUUUCUUCCUUUUAAAUCUUUAUGCCUUUAUUUUUUUUUUUCUUGCCUUAUUGUACUAUCUAGGACUUUCCAUAUGAAGUCAGAUAGAAGUCAUAAGAGAGAACAUCUUGCAUUGUUUUUUAUAUUAAGGGGAAAGUGUUUAAUUUUUCACCAGUAAAUGUAUUUUUAGCUGUAGCCUUUUGUAGAUGUGCUUUAUGAGGUUAAGAAAGUUGCCUUCUAUUCAUAGUUUGCAGAUAGUUUUAAUCAUGAAUAGAUGAUUAAUUUUAAAGUGCCUUUUGUCAAUCUAUUGAGAUGAUCGUGGUCUUUCUUUUCUUUAGUUCUGUAAAUAUAUUUAAUUUCAUUGGUUGAUUUUCCUGUGUUGAACUAGCCUUGCAUUUUUGUUUUGUUUUGUUUUUUGUUUGUUUGUUUUUGGAAGGCUUUUAACUAUAACUUCAAUUUCCCUAGAAGAUAUGGGACUAUUCAAGAUAUAUAGUUCUUCUUGAAUGAACUUGAGUAUGUCUAUCUUUCAAGGAAUUGGUUCAUUUCACCUAAGUUGUCAAAUUUAUGGGCAUAGAGUUGUUUGUUGCACUACCUUAUUAUUCUUUUAAUGUCUGUAGGGUCAGGAGUAAUGUCCCUUCUUUCAUUUCUGAUAUUGAUAAUUUGUAUCUUCUUUUUUCUUGGUCAGUCUGCCUAGAAGUUCACUAAUUUUGCUGAUUUUUCAAAGAACCAGCUUUUGGUUUGAUUGAUAUAUCCAAAUUGCUUUUUUGUUUCAAAUGCAUUGAUUUUUGCUCUUCUUAUUUUCUUCCUUCUGCUUGCUUCAGUUUUAAUUUGUUUUUCUUUAUCUAGUUUUUUUCUUUUUAGGGUAGAGACUUACCUUACUGAUUGAAGACCUUUCCUCUUUUGUAGUGUAAGCAUUUAACUCUAUAAAUUUCCAUCUAUACACUACUUUAGCUUCAUUUCCCAAAUUGUGAUAUGUUGUAGUUCUUUUUCUUUCAGUUCAAAAUGCUUUUUUAAUUGUCUUAAGACUUCCUCUGACAUAUGGUUUAUUUAGAUGUGUGUUGUUUUAUCUCCAUACAUUUGAAGAUUUUCCACUUAUCUUUAUAUUAUUGAUUUCUGGCUUAAUUCCAUUAUAGUUCAUCACUAUGCUUUCUAUGGUUUCUAGUCUUUUCAGGUUGUUAAGUUUACUUUAUGGUCCAGAAUAUAGUAUCAUUUGGAGAAUGUUUCAUAUGCACUUUAGAAAGAAGUGUUGUUGUGUAAAGUAUUCUAUAAAUAUCAACUGGGUCAAGUUGGUUGGUAAUUGCUCAAGUCA
Molecule: long non-coding RNA, 4182 nt
Filed under: Macaca fascicularis (crab-eating macaque)
Lineage: Eukaryota; Metazoa; Chordata; Mammalia; Primates; Cercopithecidae
Description: lncRNA (ENSMFAG00000053734.1)
Source: RNAcentral